UCAUCCGCAAUGGGGGAAAGCCUGACGGAGCAACGCCGCGUGAGUGAUGAAGGUUUUCGGAUCGUAAAGCUCUGUUGCCAAGGAAGAANNUCUUCUAGAGUAACUGCUAGGAGAGUGACGGUACUUGAGAAGAAAGCCCCGGCUAACUACGUUCCAGCAGCCGCGGUAAUACGUAGGGGGCAAGCGUUGUCCUGAAUUAUUGGGCGUAAAGCGCGCGCAGGCGGUUCUUUAAGUCUGGUGUUUAAACCCGAGGCUCAACUUCGGGUCGCACUGGAAACUGGGGGACUUGAGUGCAGAAGAGGAGAGUGGAAUUCCACGUGUAGCGGUGAAAUGCGUAGAUAUGUGGAGGAACACCAGUGGCGAAGGCGACUCUCUGGGCUGUAACUGACGCUGAGGCGCGAAAGCGUGGGGAGCAAACAGG
RNAcentral lists this ribosomal RNA (421 nucleotides) under uncultured bacterium. RNAcentral's name for it is "bacterial SSU rRNA". It matches the Rfam family "Bacterial small subunit ribosomal RNA", at positions 362 to 776 of the family's 1533-position model. The record is from RNAcentral.